AGCGAACGCUGGCGGCAGGCCUAACACAUGCAAGUCGAACGAACCUUUCGGGGUUAGUGGCGGACGGGUGAGUAACACGUGGGAACGUGCCUUUAGGUUCGGAAUAACUCAGGGAAACUUGUGCUAAUACCGAAUGUGCCCUUCGGGGGAAAGAUUUAUCGCCUUUAGAGCGGCCCGCGUCUGAUUAGCUAGUUGGUUGAGGUAAUGGCUCACCAAGGCGACGAUCAGUAGCUGGUCUGAGAGGAUGAUCAGCCACAUUGGGACUGAGACACGGCCCAAACUCCUACGGGAGGCAGCAGUUAUGAAUCUUGCGCAAUGGGCGAAAGCCUGACGCAGCCAUGCCGCGUGAAUGAUGAAGGUCUUAGGAUUGUAAAAUUCUUUCACCGGGGACGAUAAUGACGGUACCCGGAGAAGAAGCCCCGGCUAACUUCGUG
Molecule: ribosomal RNA, 434 nt
Filed under: uncultured bacterium
Lineage: Bacteria
Description: partial 16S ribosomal RNA
Rfam family: Bacterial small subunit ribosomal RNA
Source: RNAcentral